UUGUAGAUCAAAGAGUUCAGCAAUGGGUGUUUGAGAUCAACUCUGUUGCUAAUGAUGCCAUUGCUAUAUUGGAGACUUAUAGCUUAGAGGCUAGUAAAGGUAACGACCCUAGAUUUGCUAGUCGUCUGAAGGCUUGCACUUGCAUCUGCAGGAAGGAGACAAAAUUCUACAACGUCAGCAUCACUAAAGCAUUGAAUCAUGGAUAUCUCUCACAAACGAGAGACUUAUGGUAUUAGAGAUAUCAAUAAUGCAGGAGAAGGGCCAAGUAAUUGCCCAAACAAUCAGUAUGACAUGGUUAGAACAUUGAGGAGAACUACCUCAUAUGUAGAUGAGGAUCACAUUUUUGUUGGCUUUCAGGAUGUUGUACAAGCAUUGCUAGCUCAACUUCUCAAAGCAGAGCUUCACAGAAGCGUCAUCUCCAUUUAUGGUAUGGGCGGAUUAGGCAAGACAACUCUUGGGAGAAACCUAUACAUCAGUCCUAAUAUAGUCUCUAGCUUCCCUACACGUGCUUGGAUAUGUGUUUCUCAAGAGUACAACACCAUGGAUCUCCUUAGGAAUAUCAUAAAAUCCAUCCAAGGUUGCACCAAGGAAACUCUAGAUUUGUUGGAAAAGAUGACAGAGAGAGAUCUAGAAAUUUACCUUCGUGAUCUUUUAAAAGAACCCAAAUACCUUGUGGUGGUCGAUGAUUUAUGGCAUAGAGAAGCAUGGGAAAGUUUGAAACGAGCAUUUCCAGAUAGCAAGAACGGCAGCAGAGUAAUUAUUACUACACUAAAAGAGGAUGUCACUGAAAGAGCAGAUAACAAAGGUUUUGUCUAUAGCUUCGCUUCCUGAGCCAAGAAGAAAGUUGGUAUCUCUUUUGUAGGAAACUACUUGAUGUUCGGGCAAUGGUCUCAGCAAUGGAAAGGCUAGCAAAGGAAAUGGUGGACAAGUGUGGAGGUUUACCUCUUGCAGUUGUUGUAUUAAGCGGACUACUUUCACAUAAAAGGGGGUUCGAAGAAUGGCAAAAGGUGAAGGACCACCUUUGGCAAAACAUUAAAGACGACUCUAUUGAAGUCUCCUGCAUACUAUCAUUGAGCUACAACGAUUUGUCAAUUGCGCUCAAGCAGUGUUUCCUGUACUUUGGUAUUAUUCCAGAAGAUCACGUGGUCCAUGUUGAUCACAUAUUAUGGUUGUGGAUGGCUGAAGGAUUUGUACCAACAGGAAAAGAAAUAAUGGAGGAUGUUGUUGAAGGCUUCUUGAAUGAGUUGAUAAGAAGAAGCUUGAUACAAGUGGUACGCACAUUUUGGGAAAAAGUUGGUAAUUGUAGGAUUCAUGAUCUGCUUCGCGAUCUUGCCGUACAAAAAGCAUUGGAGGUAAACUUUUUUGACAUUUAUGAUCCAAGAAAGCACUCCAUAUCCUCCUUGUGUCUUAGACAUGCCAUUCAUAGUCAAGGAAAAAGGUAUCUCUCACUUGAUCUUUCUAACUUGAAGGUUAGGUCACUUAUGUUCCUUGAUACGGAAUUUUUAAAGAUGGGUCUUAUAAAGUUCCAUAAUGUGUUCCAACAUCUAUAUGUGUUGUACUUGGAGAUGCGUGUUGACAAUGUCUAUAGUACCUGAUGCCAUAGGAAGUUUGUACCACCUCAAGUUCUUAAGAUUGAGAGGUAUCUAUGAUCUUCCCUCUUCCAUUGGCAACCUCAAGAAUUUACAGACACUUCUUGUCAAUGACUAUGGAUACUUUUGCCAACUACCCCGCGAGACAGCUGACUUGAUAAAUUUAAGACAUUUAGUUGCUUCGUAUUCAAUACCUCUGAAAUGUAUAAGGAAACUCACUAGUCUUCAAGUUCUUAAAGGCAUCCAUUGUGAUCAGUGGAAAGAUGUUGACCCUGUUGAUUUAGUCAAUCUUCGAGAAUUAAGCAUGCAUGAGAUUACCAAAACUUACUCACUGAACAACAUUAGCAGCUUGAAAAACCUUAGCACUCUAAAAUUGUGCUGUGUAGCUUAUGAAUCAUUCCCAAACCUUGAAUAUCUUAGUUCUUGUCAAAACCUUCAGAAAUUGUGGUUAGAGGGGCAAAUAGAAAAACUGCCUCUCUCAGAGCAGUUUCCGAAUUCCAUCGCCAUGAUGGUCCUUCGGUACUCAGAACUCAUGGAAGAUCCCAUGUCUACUCUAGGGAUGCUGCCAAAUCUAAGGAAUCUCGAUUUGUUUAGAGCUUACGGAGGAAAAGAAAUUACUGCAUUGAUAACAACUUCAGUCAACUGGAGAUCCUUCGUCUUGAUUGUCUUGAGAACUUAGAAAGGUGGCAUUUAGCCACAAGUGCCAUGCCUCUGAUUAAAGGUCUUGGUAUCCAGCGUUGUCCAAAGCUACAUGAGAUUCCCGAUAGAAUCAAAGACGUAGAGAGAACUCCUUUUCAAUGAAGCUUUUCAAGCAUAUGUGAUGUCCUAUUUCAGCUCUUUCAUAAUCGUAGAGGUAAUAAAUCCCAAUCCCCAAUGAUCAUUUCUUUAAUUCCUUUUAAUUACUCACUCUGCCACAGAUUUGUUAGUAUAAUGUUUAAUUUUUAUACUAUGACAGUACAACUUUUAAUACAUUAUCAACAUACUAAAAGAAGUCAACUAUAAAUAAUUGUCUAUAAGUAAAUCACUUAUGCAUGAGAUUUUGUCUUGUAUCCCAACAACAACAUACCCAGUACUGUAUUCCAACAGAAUGAGUUCUGGGGGGUAGAGUGUACGCGAACCUUACAUCCACCUCAAAGGUCAGGUAGAGAGACUAUUUCUGAUAAACUCUCGGCUCAAGACAAAAACAGACUAGAAAAAGACAUAAUGGAAGUAGAAGAGACAAUAGGUAGUAACAAAACAACAGAUGAAAGCAGAACAGUACUACAACCAAAUAAUAUUACAAUCAAACUAUGAUUAAUCAUCAAUUUAGGUUAUUGAUAAAUCUUUUGUUCUUUAUUGAAUACUAUUCCUCAUAUUAAAUAGUGUCUUACAAUUUUGUGAAUAGGAGAAGCAACAGCUGGCAGGUGUGGAACUUUUGCCAAGCAGUUCAAGAGAUUUACAUGCAGCAAGUCAGAUUUUAGAAAUAAUAAGCAUGUUUUAUUUUUUUUUGGCUUUAGGUCAUGUGUUUAAAUUAUAAGUGUGACGUUCAAGAUUUUUUUUAAAAAAUCUCCUUGUAUAAAUUUCUUGAAUCUUGUCAAAUUUAAUAAAUCUCCACCUUGGCAAGAUUCUCCAUUUUCAACUUUCUCUCAACAACUUUUGAUUGUGUCUUCAACCUUAAUCUUCAAUGUUCAACAAUGUUGAUCAAGUUCAAACAAUGUUGAAACUUGACCGCAGUAACCACUUUUGUCAGCAUAUCGGCAGGAUUAUCCGUAGUAUGAAUUUUCUACACUGUGACUCCACCUUCUUCUAUGAUGUCUCGUAUGAAAUGAUAUCGGACAUCAAUGUGCUUCGUCCUUGCAUGAUAAACUUGGUUCUUUGCUAAUUGAAUAGCACUUUGACUAUCACAAAAUAUUGUGAUUCCUUCUUGUCCAAUACCAAGCUCUCUAAGCAAUCCUUGAAGCCAAAUUGCCCCUUUGCAGCCUCUGUAAUUGCCAUAUACUCUGCCUCAGUGGUAGACAAAGCAACUCUUGACUGCAAAGUAGGCUUCCAACUAACUGGUGCGUUUGCAAUAGUGAAAACAUAACCAGUAGUUGAUCUUCGUUUGUCCAAAUCACCUGCAUAAUCUGAGUCACAAUAUCCAACAAGAUAUUGACUAUCUUUAUGCUCAUAAACCAAGUCAAUAUCUACAGUAUUAUGAAUAUACCGUAGAAUUCAUUUUACAGCCUGCCAAUGAUCCUUUCCAGGAUUAUGCAUAUACCUGCUUACAACUCCAACAGCGUGUGAAAUAUCUGGCCUUGUGCAAACCAUUGCAUACAUCAAGCUACCAACAACAUUCGCAUAUGGUACUUUUGACAUAUAUUCUUGUGCAACUUCACUCUUUGGCGACAUAGCAUCACUAAGCUUAAAAUGAGGAGCAAGCGGAGUGCUAACCGACUUCGUUUUCUCAUUCAUGCCAAAUCGAUUUAGUACCCUCUUCAAAUAUUCUUUCUGAGAUAAAAAAAAGCUUCUUUGAAUGACGAUCUCUUUUUAUCUCCUUGCCAAGAAUCCUCUUUGCCUCGCCCAAAUCAUUCAUCUCAAACUCCUUUUUUUGUUGAAUCUUUAGCUUCUCAAUUUCCUCUUGACUUUUAGAAGCUAUCAACAUAUCAUCAACAUAUAGGAGAAGAUAGAUAAAGGAAUCGUCUUCAAGCUUGCGCAAAUACACACAAUGAUCGUAUUUGUUUCUUAUGUACCUUUGCUGCAACAUAAACUUGUCAAAUCGUUUGUACCAUUGUCUAGAAGAUUGUUUCAAUCCAUACAACGAUUUUUCAAGUUUGCACACCAUAUUUUCUUUUCCAUCAACUUUGAAUCCUUCUGGCUGAGUCAUGUAGAUUUCCUCUUCCAAGUCUCCAUGUAAAAAUGCAGUUUUUACAUCCAACUGAACUAGUUCAAAAUUCAACUGUGCUACCAAAGCCAACAAAACUCUAAUGGAGGAGUUUUUCACAAUUGGAGAAAAUACCUCAUUAUAGUCAAUUCCCUCCUUUUGAGUGUAUCCUUUGGCCACCAAUCUUGCUUUGUAGCGAACAUCUUCUUGGUUAGGAAAUCCUUCUUUCUUUGCAAAUACCCAUUUGCACCCAAUUGCUUUCUUGCCAUCCGGGAGAUUGGCCAAUUUCCAUGCAUGAUUCUGAUGAAAGGACUGCAUUUCUUCAUCUAUGGCAAACCUCCACUUAUCUUCUUCUGAACUUUGGAUUGCAUCUUUAUAAGUGGUAGGAAUGUCAUCCGCUGCAAUUGAGUCCGCACAAGCCACCACAUCUGUGAGUCGAGCAGGUUUUCUUAUUGUCCUUUUUGGCUUGCUGGUUGCUAUUGAUUCAAGUUGUGGUUGAGGUUCUUGAGAUGGAACCUCCCCUUCGACUGGCUCUUCUUCCAGAGGAAACACUUCUAUUGUUUCCUCAUUUGAUCCAUGUUUUAGGAAAAUUAUAUUUCCCUCAAACUCCACCUGCUUUGAAGCACCAUCAGUUUGUUUGACUUCUUCAACUGUUACCUUAUUUGUCAAGGCAGAUUCAUCAAAGGUAACAUCCCUACUGAAAAUAAUUUUUCUUGUCUCUGGACACCAUAAACGAUAUCCUUUGACUCCAGAAGUAAUUCCCAUAAAUAAAGCUUUAUUUGCUCUUGGGUCCAAUUUUGACUCCCUUACAUGAUAAUAUGCAAUUGAGCCAAAUACAUAUAAAGAACCAUAAUCUUCAGCAGGUUUUCCAUACCAUUUUUCUAAUGGUGUCUUCCCACCAAUAGCAGCAGAUGGUAGACGAUUAAUCAGGUGACAUGCAUAAUGUUAUUGUCUCAGCCCAAAAUUCUUUGCCCAAGCCAGCAUUGGACAACAUACACCGAACCUUCUCCAGCAAAGUUCGGUCCAUGCAUUCUUCCACUCCAUUCUGUUGUGGUGUAUUUCUAACGAUGAAAUGUCUGACGAUGCCAUUUUCCUCACAAAUUUUCUGAAAAAGAUCAUUUUUGUAUUCUCCACCAUUGUCUGUGCGAAGACACUUGAUCUUUUUUCCACUUUGAGUUUCUAUCAUCACUUUCCAUUUGAGAAAAAUUCCCAAUACUUCAUCUUUUGUUUUCAUCGUAUACACCCACAAUCUUAGGGAAAAGUCAUCAACAAAGGUUUCAAAAUAGUGUUUCCUACCUAAUAAAUGUGUUUUGGAAGCACCCCAAACAUUUGAAUGAACAUAAUCCAAAAUACCUUUAGUAUUAUGGAUAGUUGUUCCAAAUCAUGGAAAUCUCUCGCAAACGAGACACUUAUGGUAUUACAAAUAUCAAUAGUAAUGCUGGAGAAGGGCCAAGUAAUUAGUCUGCCAUGGUUAGAACAUUGAGGAGAACUACCUCCUAUGUGGAUGACCAGGAUUACAUUUUUGUUGGACUUCAAGAUGUUGUACAAACAUUGUUAGAUGAACUUCUCAAACCAGAGACUCGUUGAAGUGUUGUCUCCAUUUAUUGGCAUGGGCGGAUUAGGCAAGACCACUCUUGCAAGAAACCUCUACAACAAUCCUAAUAUAGUCAAUAGCUUCCCUACACGCGCAUGGAUAUGUGUUUCUCAAGAGUACAACACAAUGGAUCUCCUUAGGAAUAUCAUAAAAUCCAUCCAAGGUUGCACUAAGGAAACUCUAGAUUUGUUGGAAAGGAUAACUGAAAAAGAUCUAGAAAUUUACCUUCGUUAUCUAUUAAAAGAGCACAAAUAUAUACCUUGUGGUGGUUGAUGAUGUAUGGCAGAUAGAAGCAUGGGAGAGUUUGAAAAGAGCAUUUCCGGAUGGCAAGAAUGGCAGCAGAGUCAUUAUUACCACGCGCAAAGAGGAUGUCGCUGAAAGAGCAGACAACAGAGGUUUUGUCCAUAAACUUCGUUUCCUAAGCCAAGAAGAAAGUUGGGAUCUCUUUAGUAGGAAACUACUUGAUGUUCGAACAAUGGUUCCAGAAAUGAAAAGUCUAGCUAAGGAUAUGGUCGAAAAGUGUAGAGGCUUACCUUUUGCAAUUGUUGUAUUGAGCGGACUACUUUUGCAUAAAAAAGAGCUAAAAGAAUGGGAAAAGGUGAAAGAUCACCUUUGGAAGAACAUUAAAGAAGAUAAAUCUAUUGAAAUCUCCAACAUACUAUCCUUAAGCUACAAUGAUUUAUCAACUGCGCUCAAGCAAUAUUUUCUCUACUUUGGUAUUUUUCCACAAGAUCAAGUGCUCGGGGCUGAUAACAUAAAAUGGUUGUGGAUGGCCGAGGGUUUCAUACCCAGAGGAGAAGAAAGAAUGGAGGAUGCCGCAGAAGGCUUCUUGAAUGAACUUAUAAGACGAAGCUUGGUUCAAGUGGCUAAAACAUAUUGGGAAAGAUUUACUGAAUGUAGGGUUCAUGAUUUACUCCAUGAUCUUGCGAUACAAAAGGCAUUGGAGGUAAACUUCUUUGACAUUUAUGAUCCAAGAAGCCACUCCAUAUCCUCUUUAUGUAUCAGACAUGUGAUUCAUAGUGAAGGAGAAAGGUACCUCUCACUUGAUCUUUCUAACUUAAAGUUGAGGUCAAUUAUGUUCUUCGAUCAAAAUUUUCGUAAGAUGAGUCUUAUAAACUUCAGGAGUGUGUUCCAACAUCUAUAUGUGUGUCUAUAGUACCUGAUGCCAUAGGAAGUUUGUACCACCUCAAGUUCUUAAGAUUGAGAGGCAUCCAAGGUCUUCCCUCUUCCAUUCGCAACCUUAAGAAUUUACAGACACUGUAUGUCAAUGACGACAUACAGUAUUGUGAACUACCCCAUGAGACAACUGACCUAAUAAAUCUAAGACAUUUAGUUUCCCUGUAUUCAAAACCUCUGGAACAUAUAAGCAAACUCACUAGUCUUCAAGUUCUUCAAAACAUCUGUUGUGAUCAAUGGAAAAAUGUUGACCCUGUUGAUUUAGUCAAUCUUCGAAAAUUAAGCAUGCAUGAUAUUACCAAAUCUUACUCCCUAAACAACAUUAGCACCUUGAAAAACCUUAGCACUCUCAGAUUGUUGUGUUGUGCUGAUGAAUCAUUCCCAUCUCUUGAAUUUGUUAAUUGUAGUGAAAAGCUCCAGAAAUUGAGGUUAGAAGGGAGAAUAGAGAAACUGCCUCAUCUGUUUCCAAAUUCCAUCACAACGAUGGUUCUGAGGUUCUCAGUACUGACAGAAGAUCUGAUGCCUAUUUGGGAAUAUUGCCAAAACCUGAGGAAUCUCGAUUUGCUUAGAGCUUAUGAAGGAAAAGAAAUAAUGUGCAGUGAUAACAGCUUCAGUCAACUAGAGUUCCUUCGUCUUUAUGAUCUUGAGAAGCUAGAAAGAUGGGAUUUAGGCACAAGUGCCAUGCCUCUGAUUAAAGGUCUUGGUAUCCAUGACUGUCCAAAUUUAAAGGAGAUUCCUGAGAGAAUGAAAGACGUGGAGUUGUUGAAGAGGAAUUAUACGUGGUGAAGCUUUUGAAGCAUAUAUCAUGUCUUAUUUUGGCCUCAUAAUCGUAGAUUUUAGUGUUUCUGCCAAGCACUUGAAGACAUUGGUUAUUUCAGGGCUGUCAAUGAGAGUGGUUUUAGUGUUUGAUUUCUUAUUGUUUUAAGCUUUUUGAGUGAGUGUAAUUGGUUUGAAGAUAGUUGUUUUUGGCAAAAAUGAUUUUGUGAUGUUUUAAUUAAUUGUCUACUGUAUGUUCCCCUACUUAGCCACAUUUAAGACAAUGCUUUAUAUGUUAAAAUGUGUUGGUGUAAUAUACCCUAAAUAUAAUAAGUAAAUAAAAUGACAAAAAAUGCAUAAACAAAUCUUUAGGCUGAGGCACGGAUAUCUCGCUCUCUUUAAGGAGAUUCAAGCCCACUGCAGCAUAAUCUACACCGAUCCAGCAGUAUCACUCUUGACUUGUCCCCUCUAGGAUACAACAGCCCAACAAUGUGUACAACUCAAGCAACUCCGGAUUAGUUAAAGAGUCCAAAGCUCCACAUAAGAACACUUUCCUUCAACAUAUAAAUACUCUCUUGUCUAUAGUGAAUAUAGUUGAAGACUUAGAAUAUUUUUCUAUGUCUCAACUCUCUCUUUCACUAUUACACACUACAAUAUUACUUCACACUUCUCAUCUUUUUGAGAUACUUCACAAAGGAAGAAACACAACUAUUUAUAGGUGAAGAAGUCUCCCAUAUAAUCAAUAGGUAGAAUGAGGGGUAGUAAUGUGGCUGGAUAAAUGUGAUAGAUGUUACAUGAGUUACAAGAAACUAAUGGUCAUAUGAGUUACAAGAAACUAAUGACCAUGAUAGUUACAAGAACUAAUGGCCAUAUAGGUUACAAGAACCAAUAGUCAUCUUCUACCACAAUUUAUACCCACUAACUUAUGCACUUAAUAUUUUAUUUUAAUAAUAAAAUGUAUAUACACCAACAAAAUGAAAUUAAAAAUAGUAUAUGGUGUUAUGAAUCAACCCCAGCCCAAUAGGUGUUCUUAUUGAGGACGGGAGUAUUGUUAUGAAUCAGCCCCAGCCCAAUAGGGAUACCAACAAGGAUAUCACACAAAUAGAUAUUGGGCCGAGUAAAAGCAAUCGGGCCAGGCCUUCACAAAUUGUUUGGGAUCCAGGCCCAUUUACACUUUGUUAAAAAGGGCAAAUGAGUUGGAAAGAAGGAUUAGGAAAAUUGUUAAAGAAAGAGUGUUUCCUCUCAUCUCCCUUCUUAGUCUAAGCUUCUCAUCCCCUUCCUAUGGGUUCUUCUGAUUUCUCAUCUCCUUGCUAUUAUCUAUCCUAGUUUCUUUAUCUUCUGUAAUUUCUAUUGUACUAGUACUAUUUCUAUGUUGCUGUAGUACACCAGUUAAUACAAUCAGUGAAAAGAGUUUGGCUACUGUUCUUUUGUGAUUAGUGUUUGUUACAUAGGUGCUUUCAUCCAGAGAACUCCAUCAUCAGCUAUGUUUCUACCUAGAUUCAAUGGCAAUGACAACGGCAACCCGAAGAACUGGAUUUUUCGGGCAGAAUUGUACUUCACAUACCUUGGUUUCGACGAGAAGGACUGGCUACCUCUUCCUUCCUUCUACUUUGAUGGUGAAGCUCUUUCCUGGUUCGAUUGGUUGUUUCGCAACAAGCUACUCGUCGAUUGGAACCAUUUCAAGGAUGCAUUUACUCAGCGAUUUCAACAACAAACCAACAUAAAUGUGUUGGGGCGUCUAGCUAAUUCCUCACAGGUUCAUUAUGACUACAUUAGUUCUGUCCCUAUAGUUUCACAAUCAGUUGUGGUGUCUCCUUUUUCUGCUUCCAGUCAUUUUUCAAGGUCCUCUGCCAUUGCAUCUGCCUGCAACGCUGAAAGCUCACAGGCAGACCAGGUGCUCGAUGAAAGUUCUCACGGCAUUAAAUUAAAUGAGGUAAGGUCAAUUGCACCCCGAGUAUCACUCCUAGUUCCUUUUGAUGGUCCAGAAGUUGUUAGGCCAAAUGAACAUCUCGAACGAGAUAUGUCAAUGAGGUAUGUAGAUGUUAACUCUCUUGCUAGUGGCUCUCCUAAAUUGAAAACUGAUUCGGAGACCUUCGUAGACUGGUAUCUUUCUGAUUUGUUCAUGGAACCUGUGGGUAAUGAAAAUCUGUAUCUCAAUAUCUCGACAAGUUCAAUACAUUCUGUUAAAAUACUUCCUGACAUUGAAAAUGGAAAAUCCACCGGGGCGUUCAAUGAUCAAAAUAUUUCAAGUCAAUUUCCAUUGGUUCCUGCUGCUAAUUUAUUUAUUAUAAUCAUGCCUGUGAUUGCAAUGGACCUUUGUGUAUGGGAUCCAGGAAUAUGUUUCGAGUUCAUGGCUCUAACAGAUUUUAUAGAGAACGCAGAGGAAUUAUUUUUGUUGGGCUGUCCUUGCAAGUUUUUCUUAAAUGUAGAUUCAAACUCUAUGAGUAGAGUGUGGGAUCCGGGACAAACAUGGUGUGUAUAUUGCUACUUCUCUAAUGGGUCAUGCGUUAUGUAUAACUACAUUGCAUUCACAUGUCCUUCAAUCGCAUAUGAACUAGUCGUUGAGGAAUAUUUUUAUGUAAACUAUGACGUUUUGGUGGACAACUUCAAGCAAACAUCAGUUUUGCGUCCCGAUGUCAGCACUAGUUUUGACAGGAAAAUUGAGAAUUGCUACCUAGUGCUUGAUAGAAAGAAUCAUAUUGCAUUACUUAGUUCUACUAUAGGGCUUCAGAACUUUGAUGCUCAUUUUAAUGUGCUCCCAAUUGGCAUCACUGGCCCCAUGAAAGUUUUUGGAAGACAUAGUGUUGCGCACGAAGUACUAUCUAAUUCUGCCCAUCACUGGUCCUUGAAGAUUUGUUUACAUGGACUUUUCCAUAAUUGGUUUGCUGGAAGAACUCAUUGGUUUGUUUUUGUUGUUAUUAAUGGUGAUGUUGUGGGAAGUUCAACUAGAAUUGUCCAUUUAAACAAAUGGGUUUCUGGGCAGCGGCUGAAGGAUAAUGUACAAAUGCCUAGGCAUAACAAUGUGUCAUGGAGGGGAAAUUCUGGGCUGCAAGAUGGAAAGUAUAUUGAUUUUAUUAAAUAUAAAUAUUUGGUGGUGGUCUACAAUGAUGCCAGAGAUGGACUACAACUUAGUUUGCCUUUAUUUCAUGUUCUUACUAUGCUAAGCUGGAGUGUGAGUGUGCAUCUUGCAAAUUAUAAAGUUGUUGAACUAAAUCAUGUCAGGGAUGUUUUCAAAGCAGCCUUCACUAUGAUGUCCAUUCUAAGGAUAUUGUGGCCUAGGAGACAUGUAAUUGGAGAAAAUGAUGAGUUUAUCGGCAAGAAGGCUGCUUAUGCAUUGAGCCAAGGCGUUGGCGUUAUAGCCUGUAUUGGAGAGCUGUUACAAGAAAGAGAAGCAGGAAAAACUUUUGAUCUCUGUUUCCAGCAAUUGAAGGCUUUUGCAGAUGCUAUACCAAGUUGGGAUAAUGUUGUCAUUGCGUAUGAGCCUGUCUGGGCUAUUGGAACUGUUGCCUCGCCUGAUUUUUCUUGUCACAACCAUGUCCAACAGGCAGUAAACUGUUUUGACACAAUAUACAAAGCUUGGUAUGAAGCUCUUGAUUUUUCUCACAAGGGACUUGCAGGUGUUUGCCAUCAAAUGCACUUCGUCCAUCUUAAAGUCAAUGUAACUGCACCUAGAUUACCAAUGCUUUCGUUGGCGAGAUCUCUUGACUUGAACCUUGAGGACAAGGUUCUUAUUGAGGACGGGAGUAUUGUUAUGAAUCAGCCCCAGCCCAAUAGGGAUACCAACAAGGAUAUCACACAAAUAGAUAUUGGGCCGAGUAAAAGCAAUCGGGCCAGGCCUUCACAAAUUGUUUGGGAUCCAGGCCCAUUUACACUUUGUUAAAAAGGGCAAAUGAGUUGGAAAGAAGGAUUAUGAAAAUUGUUAAAGAAAGAGUGUUUCCUCUCAUCUCCCUUCUUAGUCUAAGCUUCUCAUCCCCUUCCUAUGGGUUCUUCUGAUUUCUCAUCUCCUUGCUAUUAUCUAUCCUAGUUUCUUUAUCUUCUGUAAUUUCUAUUGUACUAGUACUAUUUCUAUGUUGCUGUAGUACACCAGUUAAUACAAUCAGUGAAAAGAGUUUGGCUACUGUUCUUUUGUGAUUAGUGUUUGUUACAUAUGGUACUCUCACUUGUCCACAAUUUAGUAUUUUCUGUUCCUCCUUCAAUAGCAAAGGAGUUCAUUUAUCUAACUAGUUUUGGUAUCUUAAGUUUUUGGUUUCUGGUUUCAGACAGAUUCGAAAACUACUUAUACUGCAAAAUUAGAGAUGCAACGCAUACCAAAAUAAUCCAAUCACUAGAAGUCUAAUUUACUGACUCAAAUUUAAUUACAUGCCUUCUUCACCUAACUGACUCUAGAUUUAUUGGAAAGGAUGACAGAAGGAAAUCUAGAAAUUUAUCUUCGUGAUCUAUUAAAAGAAUGCAAAUGUGAUGUAUAGCAGAGAGAAGCAUGGGAGAAUUUGAAAAGAGCAUUCCCGGAUAGCAAGAAUGGAAGCAGAGUUAUUAUUACCACGCCCAAAGAGGAUGUCGUUGAAAGAGCAGACGACAGAGGUUUUGUCCAUAAACUUUGUUUCUAAGCCAUGAAGAAAGUUGGGAUCUCUUUUGUAGGAAACUACUUGAUGUUCGAGCAAUGACCUCAGCAAUGGAGAGGCUAGCAAGCUAUGGAUAUGGUGGACAAGUGUAGAGGUUUACCUCUUGCAAUUGUUGUAUUAAGGAGGCUAGAAGAAUGGCAAAAGGUGCAGGACCGCCUUUGGCAGAACAUUAAAGACGACUCUAUUGAAUUCUCCUACAUACUAUCAUUGAGCUACAACCAUUUGUCAACCUUAGAUGGAAUAAGCACACCAUCACUAUCACAAUAAGAAAUAUCAAUCUUCUCAUACCUAUCAUGAAAAAAGGAUCACUGGAGGAGCUUAGAGCGAAAAAUCAUGAAAACCAUUCAUUCGAGAAAUCAUAUCAUCAUCAUCAUAUGUUAUUAAAAGUAGGAAGAAUCUAAGUCAAAAGUUGAAUUAUGAAAAAACCCCUUACCUAUUAAUUUUUUUUUUUAAAAUCAUUUUAAAAAAUUAUUUUUCCAUUUAAAAUCAACUUCAUAACUACACCUCUGCAUUUUCCUAACUUAUCAUCAUAUUAUCAUAAAUAAAUAAUAAAUAAUAAUAAUUAUUAAAAGUGGAAAGCUCCAAAAUUUGAAGUUGGGUCGUCAUUUUACCCCUAUAUUAAAUAAAAAAGUUAUAAAAUAUUUUAUUAAUUAAAUAUUAAAUAGUAAUAAUUUGUCAUUUUUUCUUCACAUAUAAAAAAAGAGAAAUAAAACUUCUAUGAAAUUAGUAAAUAGUAAGUAUAUAUAUAAGUGGAACCAAAAUAUUUUUAAAAUUGAAUUAUCAAAAUGUCCAUAAAAUAUUGAAUGACAUUAAUAUCCUUCAAUCAAAUAUUAUUCCUACAAUAAUAUUGUACAAGAAUAUAAAUAUACACUUAGUUCAAUGCAUUAGGCUAUUUAAUAUAUAUAUAUAUACACGAAAAUACCCAUUAAUAUUUUGCUACAAGUGAAUUUGGCCGCGCUACGCGCAGUGGAAUUACUCAUUUAACAAAUUCAUUAUUAAUUUGAAAAUUGAUUUACUACUAUAUAGUUUAUGAACUAUAAUGCUAAUUGUUUUGAAAAUUCUUUAAAUGUUAUAAACCAUAAAGAAUUGUUUAUAUAUACUUUAUAAAUUUUAAACAUGUUAGCUUUCAUAUAAAAGUGUUGCUUGUUACAACAAAAAUUAACAUUCUAUUUGGUAGAAGAAAGAAAGAAAACUAUAGGUAAAUAGAUGAGUCAAAGAUAUCAAAAUACUUGUGAAUGAUCGUGAUUUAUCGAGCAAGAACUCAUAUGUUAAACUAUUUUAAAUUUUUUAUUAUGCACUUUUCAAGUUCAUUAGUACUAUUCUCUUUCAGAUAGUAUAGUUACAGUAUAAUUUUAAAAAAAGGACCGACAUGCUCGUGUUUUCUUCACCUUUGGUUGUUUCUUUGUUCUUCACAGUUGUUUUAUAUUUCCCUUUUGUUUCAAUACACUCUAAAGAUAGAAAUGUUCUUCAAACUCCACAAAUAGAACAAACAUGUAAAAGAAUAACUUAUGAAACUUAUAGAAACAUUUGAGAAGAUGAUAUACUUGUAGUGCUCUCCACUUAAACGAAUAUCUGAGAUCCUAAUAAUUUUACGGAGAUCCUAAUAAUUUUACCUGAAAUCUUUCUGUUGCCUGCACAAAAAUGACAUAUCCGAUGAUGAUAUUUGGUUGCCGAUAAUGAUAUGUAACUGCAAAACAAUUAUGAUAAAACAUAAAAUAAAAAAAGAUAGUACACAUACUACAGAAGGAAAGCAAACAUGAUCGGUUAGGUAACGAUUGCUUCUAAUUUUGCUUCAAAUUCUGAGUUUUAAGUGCAUGUUAAAUCUGUUACAAUAGUCAUUUAAGGUGGAAUUAAUGAUGGUAUCUAAUUGCUACGUUUAUUUAUAUUUUAUUUAUGAGUCUUUUAAAUUCAUUUGUUAGUAGCAGAAAUGAAACAAAAACAAUACAGGAAAAGGUGAAAAAUGGUCGUUUCAUCUUUUAUUAAUAAAUGAGAUGACAUUUGUUUUUUCAAACAUAUUACACAAAUUAAAACUUAAUAAAAAGCUCAAAAAAAAAAAAAGCAUAUUACACAAAUUAAAACUUAAUAAAAAGCUCAAAAUAAAAUAAAAUAGAGAAAUAUUAUAUAUAUAUAUAUAUAUAUAUGAUAUGAUUUAUUUAACUCCUAUUUAUGUUAUAUAUAUAUAUUUCUAGAAAGUUAAGUCUAUCUUCUAAUAAAUAUAAAUAAUAAUAUAGCAAAUGAAUGAACUAGAUAAAUCAAAAGACAUGGAGUUGUGUGUAUUCAAUUUUUGUAAAUGUUUUAUCUCCCGAUUCCUAAUGCAAAAAAUAAAACAUUUCUUCGUAGUAAUAAACAUAUGGAGAUUUUGAAAAGUUGUUUGGUAUAUUCAAUGUGGAAUAAAUUAUUUUGAUCAAUUCAAUACAAUAUAUUCAUUUACUAAAUGUUAUAUAUUGUGUAUAUAUAGUGAAAAAUAACAAGACAAUUAUAUCAUCAAAUAUAUAUUAUGAUAAAUUAUGUAAAAGAUAAAAAUGAAUCAUUCAUUAUAUAUUUACAACUAGGUAAUUUACCCGUGCGAAAUAAUUUUUCUAAGCUUUUGAACAACCUUUCCAAUAAUGAUUGUUAUAAGAAAAAAAAUUAGUAGAUUUUAAAAAUAUUUCAAUAGAAAUUAAAUGAUUUAACAUUAUCACAUAUCUCAAGAAUUGUAAAUAUAUAAUGAAUGAUUAAAAAUAUCUUCAUAUCUAAUCAUUUUUAUUUUUUACAUAAUUUAUCUUAAUAUAUGUUUGAUAAUAUAAUUGUCUUGUUAAAACUGAGUGAUGUUUUUAUGUAGCGAUUAAACAUCAUUUUUUCUAUUUUUUGUACAUGAAAAAUAUAGAAUCUGAUAAUUUUAUUGUUAGAAUAUAACUUCUAGUGAAAAAAAUUAUGUGAAAGUUUUCGAUAAUCAAUAUUAGUUAUAAAUAAGUUAAGACCGUUGAAAUUGUACACCACAACAACAUAAAUAAUUUUUUUUUAGAGACAAUCUACUUGUCUGAGGUCAAACGUUCACCACUUUUCGUUAUUGUUACUUUGUUACUCUAAAAAAAUUAUAGAAGGAGAAAAAUAAAAUUGAAACAACAGCAAAAUAAUAUUGUUGACCCUUUUAAAAAUUCAUUCUUCAUUAAUUGCUUCUCUGAAGACCCUUCUAGAUGCUUAAUCAAUGCAACUUUACGAUUUUUUCAGAAAUAUGUAUGUAUAAUUGUUGCAUUAUGAAAGUACAAGUAGAUCAAAAUGUUGGAUUCUACUCAUGUUAAAGAAAUAUUCUCGAACAUUAAAAAACUAAAAAUGAAUCUAACCUAGAUAACUCAAACACUCAACAAUGACUUGGGACAUGAAGGACAACAAAUCUAUGUUAAUAGACAUAUCUUUUGUAGUUUAAGACAUUACUUUUAUUUAGAGCAGGUUUUGUUUCAUAUCCUUCAAAUUAAGCUUGCCGAAAAUAGUCAUAACUCACACCAAAAAUAUUUAGAAGAGCCGAAUGAGAAAGAAAAAAAGAAAGACAUUAAAAGGGCGAAAGCUUUUUCCAAGUGAUCAGAUCAUAUACAUACCAAACGAAAAACAAUCAAUACAAUUUUAAGGAGACAACAAAACAGCGAGAAAAAACUUACAUUAAAAGGAGUAAACUAUGAGAUACCCAAUGAUGAUAACAAAUCAUUCUAACCAAAAAAGUUCUCAUGUUUUGAAAUAACAUACCUCAAAAAAUUGACUAACACUUCAAUCAACUUUCAAUCCUUAAAGUACUCAUAAUAUCCACAUAUAAAAUUUAGUAAAAAUAGAUAACAACAACAUAAAAACCAAAAAAUAUGGGCAUGCAAAGUUAUUAACUCUCAAAGGAUUUUCUAAAGAACACAAAAUCUCAUCCUUGUAUGUGAAGGAAUGUCGUUAUUGAUGAAGAAAUUAGAGAUUUGUAAGAGCUUUUUUAUUGUACCUUCAACAAUUCCAAUAGAGAAACCUUGCUUGAAUACUCAAUUAACGUUUGUUAUUUACCUCAAAAAAUUGACUAACACUUCAAUCAACUUUCAAUCCUUAGAAUACUCAUAAUAUCCACAUAUAAAAUUUAGUAAAAAUAGAUUACAACAACAUAAAAACCAAAAAAUAUGGGUAUGCAAAGUUAUUAACUCUCAAAGGAUUUUCUAAAGAACACAAAAUCUCAUCCUUGUAUGUGAAGGAAUGGCGUUAUUGAUGAAGAAAUUAGAGAUUUGUAAGGGCAUUUUUUAUUGUACCUUCAACAAUUUCAGUAGAGAAAACUUGCUUGAAUACUCAAUUAACGUUUGUUAUUUAAUUUGUACUAACAAAUACUUAUAACAAUAAUUUUGCAGAAACAUAAACAACAAAGUUUAAAGCAUGUACUCAAAAAUAACAAUUAAUAAUAUAAACAUAAAUUAAUGACCGUAAAAAACAUAUCAGGAUAUGUAACAAUAGAAUGAAACAGAAUGGAAAAAAUUGAGUCCACUGAAUGCACAGUCCCCCUUAAGGAAAUUAUUCCCCUCUAGUACCCGAGGUUUAAAGGAAUAGAUCCUCUCAGGAUAGAAUAAUUCUAUUCACCAUUGUAUUGAUACAAAAACAAUGGUGUCAGUGAGUCAUUCAACAGGAGCAAAAUACACAAAUAUUUAAUUGUUUAGAAGAAGAAGAAAUUCAAAAUUUUUGUUGUUUAAAAUGAGAGGAAAUUCCUCUAUUUAUAGACAACGAAGGGUAGUGUGAACAAAUGUAUAUUGUGUCUUAUCGAAAUUGUCACAACUCUUUGGAAAAGUUACAAAAGGUCACAACCUUUAUAAAAGUCAUAAUUUUUCAUAAAAGUUGCAAAAUGACUAAAAUAUCCAUAGAAAGAUAUUAGAUAUUUUUAUCGUUUUAAAAAUUAAUUAACUACAUAUUUUUUUAUAUUUUCCUUUUUUUUUUGUAUUUAUUUUCAUUGCACUUAAUAUCAUACGAACUAAAUUUUUUUCUCUUCUUUAUUUAUUAUUUUUCUCCUUUAUUUAUUUUAAAUUCAUUUUCAUGACUCAUGUUUAAUUAUCUAUUAGAUUGUUACUCUUAAUAUUUAUAACUCUUAUUCUUUUCAUAUUCAUAACUUCCAAUUAUUAAGAGAUGCUACCUAUAAAAGUUCCUAAAUACAUUAUUUGUGUUAUAGUCUUUUCUUCAUUCAACCUCAUUUGUUUUAUCCUUUGAGCUUCCAAUUGUAAUUAGUAUUAAUAAGUAUCUAUUACUCAUCUUUCUUAUCUUGCUUGCACUAUAUAAAGGUGUACAAAUGAAUAGUAAAUUAUGAUUCUCUUCUUUCUAUAAUUUUUUUUAUUGUUUUGCAUUUUCCUCAAUACUAUGUGGACAAGUAAAUUUAUUUUCUUUUGUGUUUAAGAGCUUAUAUUUACAAGGUAACAUGUAAUUAAUAUUAUUAUUUACUAUUUGAUUUAUGUUUUAGUUUAACUUGGUGAAGAAGAUUCUUGAAUUUUGAUUGAUUGUAGAAGAAGGUGUUGAUAAGAACUCGGAAUUUAUGUACUGAUUUUGUAUUUUCAUCCAUUUGUAUUAUUAUGAUCAAAGUCUUAAGAAGGGUGUGUAUGUUGUAUUUUUUCUUUUAUGUUUUUAUUUGUUUUUCUCAUUAUUAGACUUCUUUAAUUUGAUUUUCUAUGAAUUUUCGAAUGUCGUAAUUCUGUAAUUUUAAUCAUUUUAUCGAUCUAUAAAAAAUUACAUGGGAUAAACAUGCAAAUCACGUAUCCAGAAACUUGUUUGAUAUAAGAAUAUGUAAGACUCAGCAUACUAUGAGACAUGAGUGCUUAUAUGAAUAGAUUCAUAUUAGGAGGCUGAUAUUCAUAGCCUUAUAGAGUAAGAUAAAGAUCAAUGGGCUAAAGUUUCUGCCUCUUAUUCUGGGAAGUGAACAUAGAUAUGAAUUUAUGAUCUGAAGCGUUUGAGCAUAGGUCAUGGACAUAAUGCCAAUAUGUGAGAAAUCAACAAGGUGUUGUAACGAGUUAACUUUGAGGAAUACGCUAGACUAUGAAUGGAUUGAUAUACCACCAUAACUUUUUCUGAACACAUCAUUAUAUGAUUAUCAACGCUUGACUUGGUUCCUUACCUUAUCAUCUCCCCCUUAGGUCAGAAGCUGACACCCUAAGGCUAUGGACCUAUUACAUAUUCUCUAUACUAGUCUAUAUUCACUUUACUCUAACAUUCGAAAAAAUGCUAAUCACAUGUCUAUUAAACUCUCCAUGCGCAGGUACUAAGAUUCCUUUUAGGGCUUCUUUCUGAGCUGCUUCUCUUAACUUAUUCUUGCUUCUAUAGAAGUCUUUUGAUAAUCGUUACCCGCAUUGGAUUAUAAUUUUAUCUAACUCUUAAUUAAUAGUCUGACGUCUCCUUCUUAGCCUACUAAUACCGUCCUUCUAAGUUCAUAUCUAUCUAACUAGAGAAAACUUGAAUUGUAUUUAAUUAAGAGGCUCGUCAUUGUCUAUGUAUGAUUCUUUCGACCAAACUCUUAAGGGUAAUAAAGAAUGCUUGCAUCAGUCUACUCCACAUUGACAGCUCAAAUAUAUUAUCUAGGCACACAUAGAAAAUCAUAAACUUAAUUAAAGUCUCAUCUAACUAUAUAUGAUCUUGGGUACACAUCUUAGUGCUCUUGUUUAUCCAAUGACGUAGCCACACUUCAUUACUCUCGUCUAAGGGUCAUAAUACCACACUUGUACCACUCACAUUUAAUGCAAAUUAACACCUUAAUUCCUCACUUACUCUAUGUCAAAAGCCUACUAGAUCAAAUCUCAAAACUAACAUCAUUACCCCCCAUAUUGCCAUUCUUUUUAUCACUAUACUCAUCUCAAAUUCAAGCUUAGUGUCCAGUACUAAACAUGGAUAUCAAUGUCAUUGUUCACAUACUAUACUAACUUAUGACUACUGGAUAAAAUUAAGACACAGUCGCCGACUAAGACCUCAUGACAAGUAAUCAAUCUUUAUCCCCUAGUCUACCUAGUUACAGUUUAUCGCCACAUCCCUUUCACAACCUAAGUACUAUUUACCCCCUUCACUAUACAUUAUUGCCUAAUUAGUUCCAUAAUCCUAUUAAUAUCAUGAGGCUCUCCUUUCAAAAUCAUAAGUCUAGCUUAGAUCUAUUUCCUCAUGACUAUUUGUCCUUCAAACAUAUACUUGGUCUUCGCUAUCACAAUUACAUCAAAUUAAAAUUUAAAAUUUUGACUGCAAAAAAAGCGAAAGAAGCAAUCCAUAGAAAGAUUUGACGCUCUGAAACUUCAAGUUAACCUUCAUGGCUGAAUUCAAAUUAAUUUGUGCUAACUUAUUGAAUAUUUUUUUUCUUCUCUUCAAUGUUACAAAACACAUCUUCAAAAAAUUGAGAAGCCAUGCUCAUCAUUUUUUCCUAUAGAUUCCCCAAACGAGGAAACUUAAAAAGAACAGAAACGUAUCUAUUAUUAAAAGAUUAAAUUUGAACAUAAUUAAUUUAAAAUUUCUUAUUUUACCAUUAAUAAUAUAAUUUUAUACCACAUUGAUAUCACGAAAAUUUAAAAAUCCCAAAUCCCAAAUAUCUUUGGUUUAAAUGUGGCACCUAGCCAAACAUGUUUUUAUAAAUAAUCUUCAUUUAUUUUUGAAAGGUAUAAAAAUCGGCCAAAACUAUGUAGCCCAAGUAAAUGAACGGUAGUUAAAAAAAAAAAAAAAAGGUCAUUCGCACAAAUGCCAAUUUGAUGUGACAUUUUGAUAUUUUUUUCCUCUCAAAUGCAUUGUCUUUAAUUUUAUUCCUAUUGCUUAUUUAAUGAAAAUUUUAUUGGCUAAAAUACCCUUAAAUUUAACUAGACAGAACAUUUUACAUAAUGUUUGUAUACAUUGGAGCAUAAAUUUAUCAUGGGAAUAUUUUUUUAUUUGUUUUUUCGCUGUCAGAGAGAAUAUAUACUUUUCUUUGUUUUUUUUGCCGUCAGAGAGAAUAUAUACUUUUCUUUAUCAUUACCCUCAACUUUAUCAUCUUUCUACUUUAAGACUUUAACAAUAUUCCCAUGAUAACAAUAUUCCUUUACACUGAAUUUUUGAAGCUUUAAAUACUGAAUUCCAUGACAACAAUAUUUAUCUCUUAUCAAACUCUCAAUCUACUAAUUUCCAUACACACUUUACCUUUUACAAAAAAAAUAUUAAUUAAUUUCCAUAUUCCUAAAGAUGGCUGAUGCCGUUGUGUCAUUUGCAGUUCAAAAAUUGGGUGAUUUCCUCAUUCAGGAAGUUAACCUACGUUUAAGUCUAAGAGAGGAUAUGAAGUGGAUGAGAACUGAGCUUCUCUUCAUGCAGUCUUUCCUCAAAGAUACAGAACUAAAACAAUAUGGAGAUCAUACAAUUCAACAAUGGGUAACUGAGAUGAACUCUAUUGCUAAUGACGCUGUUGCUAUACUCGAGACUUACAGUUUAGAGGCUGGUAAAGGUGCUAGUCGUCUCAAGGCGUGCGCUUGCAUAUGUAGGAAGGAGAAGAAAUUCUACAAUGUCGCCAAGGAGAUUCAAUCACUCAAGCAACGAAUCAUGGAUAUCUCUCGUAAAAGAGAUACUUAUAGUAUUACAAAUAUCAAUAGUAAUGCUGGAGAAGGAACAAGUAAUCAGGUUACAACACUGAGGAGAACUACCUCAUAUGUGGAUGACCAGGAUUACAUUUUUGUUGGACUUCAGGAUGUUGUAGAAUCAUUGCUAGCUGAACUUCUCAAAGCAGAGCCUCGUCGAAACGUCCUCUCCAUUCAUGGGAUGGGUGGAUUGGGCAAGACCACUCUUGCCAGAAACCUCUACAACAGUCCUAAUAUAGUCUCAAGCUUCCCUACUCGCACUUGGAUAUGUGUUUCUCAAGAGUACAACACAAUGGAUCUUUUUAAGACUAUCAUAAAAUCCAUCCAAGGUUGCGCCAAGGAAACUCUAGAUUUGUUGGAAAAGAUGGCAGAAACAGAUCUAGAAAAUCACCUUCGUGAUCUAUUAGAAGGAUGCAAAUACCUUGUGGUGGUUGAUGAUGUGUGGCAGAAAGAAGCAUGGGAGAGUUUGAAAAGAGCAUUUCCGGAUAGAAAUAAUGGCAGCAGAGUUAUUAUCACCACGCGCAACCAGGAUGUCGCUGAAAGAGCAAACAACAGAGGUUUUGUCCAUAAACUUCGUUUCCUAAAACAAGAAGAAAGUUGGGAUCUCUUUUGUAGGAAACUACUUGAUGUUCGAGCAAUGGUUCCAGCAAUGGAAAGUCUAGCUAAGGAUAUGGUGGAAAAAUGUAGAGGCUUACCUCUUGCAAUUGUUGUAUUGAGUGGACUACUUUCGCAUAGAUGGGGGCUAGACAAAUGGCAAAACGUGAAAGACUGCCUUUGGAAGGACAUUGAAGAAGACUCUAUUGAAAUCUCCUACAUACUAUCAUUAAGCUUCAACGAUUUGUCAGCUGCGCUCAAGAAGUGUUUUCUCUACUUUGGUGUUUUUCCAGAAGAUCAAGUGAUCGAUGCUGACGACAUAAUGCGGUUGUGGAUGACAGAGGGUUUCAUCAUACCAAGAGGAGAAGAAAGAAUGGAGGAUGUCGCUGAAGGCUUCUUGAAUGAGCUGAUAAGACGAAGCUUGGUUCAAGUAGCUCAAACAUUUUGGGAAAAAGUUACUGUAUGUAGGGUUCAUGAUUUACUUCGUGAUCUUGCCAUACAAAAGGCAUUGGAGGUAAACUUCUUUGACAUUUAUGAUCCAAGAAAGAACUUGAAAUCCACUUCAUGUAUAAGACAUGCCAUUCAUAGUGAAGGAGAAAGGUACCUCUCAUCACUUGAUCUUUCUAACUCGAAGUUGAGGUCAAUUAUGUUCUUUGAUCCACAUAUUUGUAAUGUGUUCCAACAUAUAGAUGUGUUCCGACAUAUAUAUGUGUUGUACUUGGAUAUUGAUUAUGGUAAAGUUAUACCUGAUGCCAUAGGGAGUUUGUACAACCUCAAGUUGUUACGCUUGAGUGUUGUCAGUAAAAUUCCCUCCUCCAUCGGCAACCUCAAGAAUCUACAGACACUUGUUGUUGUCAAUAUGGACAGACGCUUUUGCCAACUACCCCCCGAAACAGCUGACCUAAUAAAUUUAAGACAUUUAGUUGUUCCAUAUUCUAUACCUCUGGCAGGUAUAAGCAAACUCACUAGUCUUCAAGUUCUUCGCCUUGAUUGUGAUCAGUGGAAAGAAGUUGACCCAGUUGAUUUAGUCAAUCUUCGAGAAUUAGAGAUGCGUAAUAUAUACAAAUCUUACUCCCUAAACAACAUUAGCAGCUUGAAAAACCUUAACACUCUCAAAUUGUGUAUUUUGCUUGGUCCACAAUCUACAUAUCCAUUCCCAUCCCUUGAAUUUGUUAAUAGUUGUGAAAAGCUCCAGAAAUUGUUGUUAGGUGGGAGAUUAGAGAAACUGCCUGUGUUUCCAGAUUCCAUCACAAUGAUAUUUCUUUGGGAGUCAAGACUGACAAAAGAUCCGAUGCCUAUUUUGGGAAUGUUACCAAACCUAAGGAAUCUCGAAUUAGAAGCAGCUUAUGAAGGAGAAGAAAUAAUGUGCAGUGAUUACAGCUUCAGUCAACUAGAGCUCCUUCAUCUUUAUGGUCUUGACAACUUAGAAAGAUGGCAUUUAGGCACAAAUGCCAUGCCUCUCAUUAAAGAUCUUGUUAUCCAUCAUUGUCCAAAGCUGAGGGAGAUUCCAGAGAGAAUGAAAGACGUGAAGCAUUUCAAACGUAUAUGAAGUCUUAUAUGAUAAUAGGAAAGGUAAAUAUACAAACACAUCCCAAUCCUUCAUUUUUUUUCUUUUUUAUAUAAAUAAUAAUAUUUUUGUUAAAACAGGAGAUGAAGACAUUCAAGUUGAUGAAGAUGGGUUGUCCAAGCAUCAAUCAAGCUUCCGUCACUUUACUGAUUUUGUGAUUCUAGGCAAAAAUGAGGAUUUUUUUGGUUUUUGGCUUCUUUUUUUUUUUUUAGUGUGUGGAAUUGGUUGGAAGAGAUUUUUUUUUUGGGGGAAGUGGGGGUGGNNNNNNNNNNNNNNNNNNNNNNNNNNNNNNNNNNNNNNNNNNNNNNNNNNNNNNNNNNNNNNNNNNNNNNNNNNNNNNNNNNNNNNNNNNNNNNNNNNNNGGGAUCACCCCCGACGAAAAAUCCACGAUGAUCUCCUCGAUCUUCUCUUCUUCUUCUCCUUCUUCUCUUCUUCUUCUCUUCUUCUUCUCCUUCUUCUCUNNNNUCCUCGAUUUCCUCUUCUUCUCUUCUUCUUCUCUUCUUCUUCUCAAGCCCUAGCCUUCACUCUCUUAAAAUGGAACAAAAUGAUCCAAGUAUCAGCCUUACUCAACAAUAUAACCUCAAAAGAAAUAGCCAGGGAAAAGACCAAAAUGCCCUUAAUUUUCCGGAGAGAUUUCCCUGCCAACAGCCCAACUUCUAAAGGGCACAACUCGCUCAUACGAACUCGGAAUUGAGCAAACUCGGCGGUAUUGGAAAUAUCAUUCCACAAGCUUCACAACCAUAACUAGAACUACUCCUAACUCAUCCUGAGAUGGAAGUUAUGACUGCUCAAAGUUGGCCAAAAAUUCAUUUUUUUCACACUUAGCCAAAUUUCCAAAAUUUUAAAUUCUUUCCAAAAAUGACUAUUUUUGAUUUUUAAGCCGCUUCAUAGUUAUUUCAUCUUACCGGAUGUUACAAUAUCUCCCCCUUGGGAACAUUCGUCCUCGAAUGAGGUUACUCUUACAAGGCUAAGGGUGCAACAACAACUCAAACACCCAACAAGCAACUAUACAAACACAACAACAACCACAACAUGCUCAUUAUAAUUAAAAGAGCACUAAAAAGGAAAUUAAUACCUUAAUCUGCAUUUCCUUCGGAUUCAAAGAGAUGUGGAUAUCUCUUCUUCAUGUCUUCUUCGGCUUUCCCCAAAGUGGCUUCCUCAACAAAUUGGUUCCUCCAUAGGACCUUGACUGAGGCUACUUCUUUCGUUCUCAACCUACGAACUUGACGAUCUAAAAUCUGAACAGGAACCUCCUCAUAAGAUAAGUUAUCCUUGAUCUUAAAACUUUCAGUCGGUAGGAUAAAAUGAAGGAUCGCCUAUGCACUUCUUCAACAUGGAGAUGUGAAAUAUUGGAUGAACCGCUUCUAGUUCCUGUACUUUGGUAUUUGUCAACUGCGCUCAAGCAGUGUUUCCUGUACUUUGGUAUUUUUCCAGAAUAUCACGUGGUCCAUUUGAUCACAUAUUAUGGUUGUGGAUGGCUGAAGGAUUUGUACCAACAGGAAAAGAAAUAAUGGAGGAUGUUGUUGAAGGCUUCUUCAAUGAGUUGAUAAGACGAAGCUUGAUACAAGUGGUACACACAUUUUGGGAAAAAGUUGGUAAAUGUAGGAUUCAUGAUCUGCUUCACGAUCUUGCCGUACAAAAAGCAUUGGAGGUAAACUUUUUUGACAUUUAUGAUCCAAGAAAGCACUCCAUAUCCUCCUUGUGUCUUAAACAUGCCAUUCAUAGUCAAGGAAAAAGGUAUCUCUCACUCAAUCUUUCUAACUUGAAGGUUAGGUCACUUAUGUUCCUUGAUACGGAUAUUUUAAAGAUGGGUCUUAUAAAGUUCCAUAAUGUGUUCCAACAUCUAUAUGUGUUGUACUUGGAGAUUCAUGUUGACAAUAUGUGUAUACUGUAUAGUACCUGAUGCCAUAGGAGGUUUGUACCACCUCAAGUUCUUAAGAUUGAGAGGUAUCCAUGAUCUUCCCUCUUCCAUUGGCAAGCUCAAGAAUUUAUAGACACUUCUUGUCAAUGACUAUGGAUACUUUUGCAACUACCCCGCGAGACAGCUGACCUGAUAAAUCUAAGACAUUUAGUUGCUUCGUAUUCAAAACCUCUGAAACGUAUAAGCAAACUCACUAGUCUUCAAGUUCUUAAAGGCAUCCAUUGUGAUCAGUGGAAAGAUGUUGACCCUGUUGAUUUAGUCAAUCUUCGAGAAUUAAGCAUGCAUGAGAUUACCAAAACUUACUCACUAAACAACAUUAGCAGCUUGAAAAACCUUAGCACUCUAAAAUUGUGCUGUGUAGCUUAUGUAUCAUUCCCAAACCUUGAAUAUCUUAGUUCUUGUCAAAACCUUCAGAAAUUGUGGUUGGAGGGGCAAAUAGAAAAACUGCCUCUCUCAUAGCAGUUUCUGAAUUCCAUCGCCAUGAUGGUCCUUCGGUACUCAGAACUCAUGGAAGAUCCCAUGUCUACUCUAGGGAUGCUCCCAAAUCUAAGGAAUCUCGAUUUUGUUUAGAGCUUACGGAGGAAAAGAAAUUACCUGCAGUGAUAACAGCUUCAGCCAACUGGAGAUCCUUCGUCUUGAUUGUCUUGAGAAC
RNAcentral lists this long non-coding RNA (25847 nucleotides) under Solanum tuberosum (potato). RNAcentral describes it as "long non-coding RNA (STUB_LNC004349)". The record is from RNAcentral. Lineage: Eukaryota; Viridiplantae; Streptophyta; Magnoliopsida; Solanales; Solanaceae.